This 87-nucleotide transfer RNA is filed under the name Macrophomina phaseolina. Its description in RNAcentral is "tRNA-Ala". It matches the Rfam family "tRNA". From Rfam's summary of the family: Transfer RNA (tRNA) molecules are approximately 80 nucleotides in length. Lineage: Eukaryota; Fungi; Ascomycota; Dothideomycetes; Botryosphaeriales; Botryosphaeriaceae. The record is from RNAcentral.
GGGCACUUGGUCUAGGGGUAUGAUUUUCGCUUCGCAAUAGUAAAAUGCACGUGUGAAAGGUCGUGGGUUCAAUUCCCACAGUGUCCA